CUUUAUUGUGGGUGGGAGCUCGCCUAAUGAAAGGGACAAUGCGAAGAUUAGCAGUGCCAGCCAGGCAGCUCAAACUUCACCCUGGCUUUAAUUGCUGAGAACAAGAAGAGAUGUGGAAGCAGGGCAAACAGAGGACAAAAGAGCAGGGGAAGGAGGAGGCAAGAGGAGGUAUGAAGACUGGAUGAUGAAUGGAGUGACCCAAAGCCAUUGGAGGUGCGACCGUCUGAAGAUUCCCACCCUUAUCCCCACUUGUAUGGUUCAUUCAAAAGACGCUUCGACCUUAGAACCCGACCCUUCACCACAGAUGAGAUAUGGCGUCAGAGCUUCAACACAGCAGAACUUGACAAGGACACAUGGAAAACUUGAAGAAAACUUGGAAGAGGGACGUGCAUGUCUGGGCGUGAUGCACGUCUGACUUGUACAUAUGCAAGAGCUUCUGCUCAGAGAAAAAAAAAAGAUCGCAGACAAAAAUCACAAUAGCCAAGAAUUUGAUUUCAACUACAGUCUAUCUGAGCCGGACCCCGUUUCUAAAUUCCAACUGGAGCUCAUUUGAGGAUUGAUAUUGGAUCCAUGCCAAUAGAGAGCCCACUCUCCGCAGGUCGCUCUCCUCAUGUUGGUCACCAUCCGUGUGUGACGACAUGUGUCUGUAUUGGGAUUGUGUGGGGAUGUUGACAAGUGGCUGCAGAUCCUGUCACGCACUUUUGGCCCGGAAAUGUAACGAGCGUCUCCCACACUUCUCAAAAUGUAUCCUUCAAAUCGUCACACUAUAAACCAUUAGUCUCAGAAAGAUUCGUUACACAGACAUCUGUCCAGGUCCGGCGUCACGGAUAGCGCAUGUUUGGCGCGUGAGCAGUGGUGUGCUGGGUUGAGUUGCACCUGUAUCUACAUCCAGUGCAGCAGCCAUGGCCCUGUGUAGUGACACAUCCGGCGGGACAAUUCUACAUCACCGCAGAUACGUGAGAAGGGAAACCACAGGAGAUUAAGCUGAAUAAAUAUGCUCAGCAUCUGUUAAAGUUAUUCUUCAAAGCUAUUAGCAUAUUUUCUUGGCAUACGCAUGCAUAUAGGCUGAAACGCAGCCCGCAGAAGGAACUCGUGUCUGGCUGUUACACCAGUCACAGCUGCCAUUACUUCCCCGCUACGAGGGCGAGUCUUGACGAACAUUUCAUCGAGGUAUUCACGCGACUGUGCGUAGAAUAACGCGGCAAACGCUACCCUCCCAGUGUGAUCACAUUCGGCACCGCUGCCGCUCUUUUUGAGGUUCGCCUGCGGCUUCCAUAUCUAGUGGCACAGAUCCUGCAGCAAAACCGCCGUUCAGAGGGCACAGAGAGAGAAGGAGCAGUGUCCUCAUUUAAAAAUCUAUCUGAAAGAAAGAUAGGCUUGUGCACUGCGCUCAUAGAAACGCUGGAUUUACUUAUGGUCCCUAAAGUCUUAAAAAAGAAAGUGGAGCGGGAGCCAGAGCCUUCAGCUAUGGAGCUCCUCUACUGUGGAGUCAUCUCCCAGUUUCAGUCACGGAGGCACUCACACUUUUGGAUGAAGCUUAUAGUCGGAGCUGGCUCAGGUCUGCCCCCGGUGAGCUUCCCUUCCCUCCUCUCCCAUGUUGCUGACUCCUUCUCCUGAGUCCUUGUGCUCGGUCAGUGUUGUACAUGUAUUUUUGUUGAUAUGCUAUGUUACAUGGGACAUCUAUUGCACUUCUGUCCAUCCAGGGAGAGGGAUCCCUCACUUCAUUUCGUAUAGUUUUUCCUCACACUAGUCGAGGUUUAGAGACAGAGGAUGUCACACCUACGGACUGUUAAGUUUUAUGAGACAAAUUGUGAUGUGUGAAUCUGGGUAGGAUCUAGGAUUGAGCCUUUAUUCUUUCUAUGCAUUCAAAUGAAACCAAAUUUCUAAUUAGCACAAGUGGAUGGUAAAGAAGCAGGAUUUCAUUCGACACUAUCUUGUGUUUUAUUCAAAAGCUGCACAGCAUUGGCAGUGCUGUACAGUCAUCCACACUAAGUGUAAACGUGGUCAUUUGAUCAGUUAUUCAUUCGUCGCUUUUAGGCCACCCUUGUUGGCAACCAGCGGUUUGUGUUUAAUGAAGCUGUUAUUAGAGCACACAUGGCCGCUCGGCUUUUAAUACACACUAAAGAACCAAUUAGCAGCAGAAUAUUCUCAGGGUGAACAGGAACGGGGAAUUAAAAAUGUACCUCAGAUGUUCAGGCAGCAAGAGAUGCAAAUGUGGCUCAUUGUCUCAUCACCUUGUAUUGACUGCAGAGGGAGAUGAGGGUUUAUUAGUCAUCUCUCAUACAUUUAUUGAAAUAAAUCAUUAAGUUUGGGUUCACUGUUGAGUCAGUUUGCUGACAAGAUUAAGAAAAUAUGUAAUUUAAGUUUGUAAUUA
Scophthalmus maximus (turbot) is the source of this 2374-nucleotide long non-coding RNA. RefSeq lists it as uncharacterized. NCBI's taxonomy places the organism in Eukaryota, Metazoa, Chordata, Actinopteri, Pleuronectiformes, Scophthalmidae. The transcript is spliced from 3 exons. The record is from RefSeq and is a predicted model, not a curated record.